AUCACCUGGGGAUCUUGUUAAAAUGUUGAUUCUGGUUCACAGAGCUGGGUGGGGCCUGGGGUUCUGCAUUUCUAACAAGGUCAGAAGAGAUGC
RNAcentral lists this microRNA precursor (93 nucleotides) under Ovis aries (sheep). RNAcentral describes it as "miRNA (ENSOARG00000021445.1)". Lineage: Eukaryota; Metazoa; Chordata; Mammalia; Artiodactyla; Bovidae. The record is from RNAcentral.